Molecule: ribosomal RNA, 268 nt
Filed under: uncultured bacterium
Lineage: Bacteria
Description: partial 16S ribosomal RNA
Rfam family: Bacterial small subunit ribosomal RNA
Source: RNAcentral
GUCCACGCCCUAAACGUUGGGCACUAGGUGUGGGAGGUAUUGACCCCUUCCGUGCCGCAGCUAACGCGAUAAGUGCCCCGCCUGGGGGAGUACGGCCGCAAGGCUAAAAACUCAAAGGAAUUGACGGGGGCCCGCACAAGCAGCGGGAGCGUGUGGUUCAAUUCGAUGCUACGCGAAGAACCUUACCAGGGCUUGACAUGCUGGUGGUACUGGACCGAAAGGAAAGGGACCCUUCGGGGAGCCAGCACAGGUGUUGCAUGGCUGUCGU